This 516-nucleotide ribosomal RNA is filed under the name uncultured bacterium. RNAcentral describes it as "partial 16S ribosomal RNA". It matches the Rfam family "Bacterial small subunit ribosomal RNA", at positions 28 to 523 of the family's 1533-position model. The record is from RNAcentral.
GACGAACGCUGGCGGCAUGCCUAAUACAUGCAAGUCGAGCGAACAGAUGAAGUGCUUGCACUUCUGACGUUAGUGGCGAACGGGUGAGUAACACGUGGGUAACCUGCCCAUAAGAGGGGGAUAACAUCCGGAAACGGGUGCUAAUACCGCAUAGGUUUCUUGGUCGCAUGAUCGAGAAAGGAAAGACGGCCUUUGUGCUGUCGCUUAUGGAUGGACCCGCGGCGUAUUAGUUAGUUGGUGAGGUAACGGCGCACCAAGACGAUGAUACGUAGCCGACCUGGGAGGGUGAUCGGCCACAUUGGGACUGAGACACGGCCCAAACUCCUACGGGAGGCAGCAGUAGGGAAUCUUCCGCAAUGGACGAAAGUCUGACGGAGCAACGCCGCGUGAGUGAAGAAGGUUUUCGGAUCGUAAAACUCUGUUGUCAGAGAAGAACAAGUCGGAGAGUAACUGCUCCGGCCUUGACGGUAUCUGACCAGAAAGCCACGGCUAACUACGUGCCAGCCGCCGCCGUAA